This 497-nucleotide ribosomal RNA is filed under the name uncultured bacterium. RNAcentral's name for it is "partial 16S ribosomal RNA". It matches the Rfam family "Bacterial small subunit ribosomal RNA", at positions 28 to 507 of the family's 1533-position model. The record is from RNAcentral.
GACGAACGCUGGCGGCGUGCCUAAUACAUGCAAGUUGAGCGAUGAAGCUUGGUGCUUGCACCAAUUUGAAGAGCAGCGCACGGGUGAGUAACGCGUGGGGAAUCUGCCUUUGAGCGGGGGACAACAUUUGGAAACGAAUGCUAAUACCGCAUAACAACUUUAAACAUAAGUUUUAAGUUUGAAAGAUGCAAUUGCAUCACUCAAAGAUGAUCCCGCGUUGUAUUAGCUAGUUGGUGAGGUAAAGGCUCACCAAGGCGAUGAUACAUAGCCGACCUGAGAGGGUGAUCGGCCCCAUUGGGAAUGGGACACGGCCCAAGCCCCUACGGGAGGCAGCAGUAGGGAAUCUUCGGCAAUGGACGAAAGUCUGACCGAGCAACGCCGCGGGAGGGAAGAAGGGUUUCGGAUCGUAAAACUCUGUUGGUAGAGAAGAACGUUGGUGAGAGUGGAAAGCUCAUCAAGUGACGGUAACUACCCAGAAAGCGACGGCUAACUACGUG